This 502-nucleotide ribosomal RNA is filed under the name uncultured Actinomycetes bacterium. RNAcentral's name for it is "bacterial SSU rRNA". It matches the Rfam family "Bacterial small subunit ribosomal RNA", at positions 380 to 892 of the family's 1533-position model. The record is from RNAcentral. Lineage: Bacteria; Bacillati; Actinomycetota; Actinomycetes.
AGCCUGAUGCAGCGACGCCGCGUGAGGGAUGACGGCCUUCGGGUUGUAAACCUCUUUCAGUAGGGAAGAAGCGAAAGUGACGGUACCUGCAGAAGAUGCGCCGGCUAACUACGUGCCAGCAGCCGCGGUAAUACGUAGGGCGCAAGCGUUAUCCGGAAUUAUUGGGCGUAAAGAGCUCGUAGGCGGUUUGUCGCGUCUGCCGUGAAAGUCCGGGGCUCAACUCCGGAUCUGCGGUGGGUACGGGCAGACUAGAGUGAUGUAGGGGAGACUGGAAUUCCUGGUGUAGCGGUGAAAUGCGCAGAUAUCAGGAGGAACACCGAUGGCGAAGGCAGGUCUCUGGGCAUUAACUGACGCUGAGGAGCGAAAGCAUGGGGAGCGAACAGGAUUAGAUACCCUGGUAGUCCAUGCCGUAAACGUUGGGCACUAGGUGUGGGGGACAUUCCACGUUUUCCGCGCCGUAGCUAACGCAUUAAGUGCCCCGCCUGGGGAGUACGGCCGCAAG